This 868-nucleotide ribosomal RNA is filed under the name Clostridium sporogenes. RNAcentral describes it as "bacterial SSU rRNA". It matches the Rfam family "Bacterial small subunit ribosomal RNA", at positions 8 to 892 of the family's 1533-position model. Lineage: Bacteria; Bacillati; Bacillota; Clostridia; Eubacteriales; Clostridiaceae. The record is from RNAcentral.
AGAGUUUGAUCCUGGCUCAGGACGAACGCUGGCGGCGUGCUUAACACAUGCAAGUCGAGCGAUGAAGCUUCCUUCGGGAAGUGGAUUAGCGGCGGACGGGUGAGUAACACGUGGGUAACCUGCCUCAAAGUGGGGGAUAGCCUUCCGAAAGGAAGAUUAAUACCGCAUAAUAUAAGAGAAUCGCAUGAUUUUCUUAUCAAAGAUUUAUUGCUUUGAGAUGGACCCGCGGCGCAUUAGCUAGUUGGUAAGGUAACGGCUUACCAAGGCAACGAUGCGUAGCCGACCUGAGAGGGUGAUCGGCCACAUUGGAACUGAGACACGGUCCAGACUCCUACGGGAGGCAGCAGUGGGGAAUAUUGCGCAAUGGGGGAAACCCUGACGCAGCAACGCCGCGUGGGUGAUGAAGGUCUUCGGAUUGUAAAGCCCUGUUUUCUAGGACGAUAAUGACGGUACUAGAGGAGGAAGCCACGGCUAACUACGUGCCAGCAGCCGCGGUAAUACGUAGGUGGCGAGCGUUGUCCGGAUUUACUGGGCGUAAAGGGUGCGUAGGCGGAUGUUUAAGUGGGAUGUGAAAUCCCCGGGCUUAACCUGGGGGCUGCAUUCCAAACUGGAUAUCUAGAGUGCAGGAGAGGAAAGCGGAAUUCCUAGUGUAGCGGUGAAAUGCGUAGAGAUUAGGAAGAACACCAGUGGCGAAGGCGGCUUUCUGGACUGUAACUGACGCUGAGGCACGAAAGCGUGGGUAGCAAACAGGAUUAGAUACCCUGGUAGUCCACGCCGUAAACGAUGGAUACUAGGUGUAGGGGGUAUCAACUCCCCCUGUGCCGCAGUUAACACAAUAAGUAUCCCGCCUGGGGAGUACGGUCGCAAG